Hipposideros armiger (great roundleaf bat) is the source of this 946-nucleotide long non-coding RNA. RefSeq lists it as uncharacterized. The transcript is spliced from 2 exons. The record is from RefSeq and is a predicted model, not a curated record. Lineage: Eukaryota; Metazoa; Chordata; Mammalia; Chiroptera; Hipposideridae.
CAGGAAACCACGGCUGUGCGUAUGUGAUCACCUGCCCAAGAUCACACACACUGCCAAGGUCACACGGGAACUCACCGGCUUUCCUCCCUCCAGCGGGACCUUCUCCCGCCGCCUCCUGUGCGGGCUCGAAAGCGGGAAGGAGCCACUUCCGAGAGCUGCGCUCUGAACACUGCGGUGUUUUUAAGAGACAAACAGGAGGGAAGACUCGCCUCUCCAGGAGACACUGGACACUCCCCGGCAGCUGGUAAUUGAAGCCUCUGUCGGCAGCUCAAGGCUCACUUACCCAACUUUUGGGUUCCUUCCCGUGCACUUCUAACAAGCUAUGCAAACAGGAAAGGAGGUCACGGGGAGAGGCUUCAAAUGCUGUAGCUAAACCUCCCGUGUUCACCCCUGGGCAGUCCUCUCCCCUUGGAUGCAGUAGAAGCGGAGCUCUGGUGGCUUCUGAGACUUUAUUUCGAAGAAGCCUUGCAGCUGCCACCUGAGCCUCUUGGAAUGCUUGCUGUGGAGAAGCCCAAAUGUCCCCGACAGGCCUUCUUACCAGGAUGUGCACGCUAGUCACAUGGGGAGACAGCUGGAGAGAGACAGGUGCCAGCCAGUCAGCCCUCAGCCGGCCCAGCCAUCCCUGUGGAAGCACCAGACACUCAUGUGGAGAAGCCAUCCUGGAAUCCUGGACACACAGCCCAGGUGAGCAGUGACAUGAGUCCAAGCCAAACACCAUCUGACUGCAAUUCCAUGAGAGCCCCCUAGUGAGCACCGUGACCUCUGAGAACCAGGACAGAGAGUAACAAACGAGCUGCUAAGUUCUGAGGUGGUUUCUUAUUCAACAAUGGAUCACUGAAACAUUUGCUAACCAGACUGCAAAAAGAUAUUAAAAUAGAUUUCUUGCUAUAUAAGUGACAUGAGAAAUGUCAGCCACAAAGGCUAAUAAACAAUUGUUGAACUCUUA